UACCCAUUAGCUUAAUGGUAGAGCGAGAUAUUCCUAACAUUUAGAUCUAAGUUCGAAUCUUAGAUGGGUAG
Molecule: transfer RNA, 71 nt
Filed under: Laccaria amethystina LaAM-08-1
Lineage: Eukaryota; Fungi; Basidiomycota; Agaricomycetes; Agaricales; Hydnangiaceae
Rfam family: tRNA
About the family: Transfer RNA (tRNA) molecules are approximately 80 nucleotides in length.
Source: Rfam by way of RNAcentral